AGUGAACGCUGGCGGCGUGCCUAAUACAUGCAAGUCGAACGGAGAUUAAGUAGCUUGCUAUUUAAUCUUAGUGGCGCACGGGUGAGUAAUAUAUAGCUAGCUUGCCCAUUACUAAGGGACAACAGUUGGAAACGACUGCUAAUACCUUAUACUCCGUAUCUAUAUAAGUAGAUACGGGAAAGUUUUUCGGUAAUGGAUAGGGCUAUAUCGUAUCAGCUAGUUGGUAAGGUAAUGGCUUACCAAGGCUAUGACGCGUAACUGGUCUGAGAGGAUGAUCAGUCACACUGGAACUGAGACACGGUCCAGACUCCUACGGGAGGCAGCAGUAGGGAAUAUUGCUCAAUGGGGGAAACCCUGAAGCAGCAACGCCGCGUGGAGGAUGACACUUUUCGGAGCGUAAACUCCUUUUCUUGGGAAAGAAUUAUGACGGUACCCAAGGAAUAAGCACCGGCUAACUCCGUG
Molecule: ribosomal RNA, 462 nt
Filed under: uncultured bacterium
Lineage: Bacteria
Description: partial 16S ribosomal RNA
Rfam family: Bacterial small subunit ribosomal RNA
Source: RNAcentral